Molecule: ribosomal RNA, 50 nt
Filed under: Lepraria pacifica
Lineage: Eukaryota; Fungi; Ascomycota; Lecanoromycetes; Lecanorales; Stereocaulaceae
Description: 25S ribosomal RNA
Source: RNAcentral
GAAAUUCAAUGAUUGACCUCGGAUCAGGUAGGGAUACCCGCUGAACUUAA